AUUGAACGCUGGCGGCAGGCCUAACACAUGCAAGUCGAGCGGUAGAGAGAAGUUUGCUUCUCUUGAGAGCGGCGGACGGGUGAGUAAUGCCUAGGAAUCUGCCUGGUAGUGGGGGAUAACGUUCGGAAACGGACGCUAAUACCGCAUACGUCCUACGGGAGAAAGCAGGGGACCUUCGGGCCUUGCGCUAUCAGACGAGCCUAGGUCGGAUUAGCUAGUUGGUGAGGUAAUGGCUCACCAAGGCGACGAUCCGUAACUGGUCUGAGAGGAUGAUCAGUCACACUGGAACUGAGACACGGUCCAGACUCCUACGGGAGGCAGCAGUGGGGAAUAUUGGACAAUGGGCGAAAGCCUGAUCCAGCCAUGCCGCGUGUGUGAAGAAGGUCUUCGGAUUGUAAAGCACUUUAAGUUGGGAGGAAGGGUUGUAGAUUAAUACUCUGCAAUUUUGACGUUACCGACAGAAUAAGCACCGGCUAACUCUGUGCCAGCCGCCGCAGUAA
Molecule: ribosomal RNA, 500 nt
Filed under: uncultured bacterium
Lineage: Bacteria
Description: partial 16S ribosomal RNA
Rfam family: Bacterial small subunit ribosomal RNA
Source: RNAcentral